AGAGUUUGAUCAUGGCUCAGGACGAACGCUGACGGUGUGCUUUAGGCAUGCAAGUCGAACGAGAAAGCCCUUCGGGGUGAGUAAAGUGGCGAACGGGUGAGUAACACGUGGGCAACCUGCCCCUCGCAGGGGGACAACCGGAGGAAACUCCGGCUAAUACCCCGUACGCUUGUUGGAUCGCAUGGUCCGGCAAGGAAAGGUAGCUUCGGCCAUCCGGCGAGGGAUGGGCCCGCGUUGCAUUAGCUAGUUGGUGGGGUAACGGCCUACCAAGGCGACGAUGCGUAGCUGGUCUGAGAGGAUGAUCAGCCACACUGGGACUGAGACACGGCCCAGACUCCUACGGGAGGCAGCAGCCAGGAAUCUUGGGCAAUGGGCGAAAGCCUGACCCAGCAACACCGUGUGGGCGAUGAAGGCCUUAGGGUCGUAAAGCCCUGUUGAUAGGGACGAAGGGCGAAGGGUUAAUAGCCCCUAGCUUGACGGUACCUUUCGAGGAAGCCCCGGCUAACUACGUGCCAGCAGCCGCGGUAAUACGUAGGGGGCGAGCGUUGUCCGGAAUUAUUGGGCGUAAAGAGCGUGUAGGCGGUUCGGUAAGUCUGCUGUGAAAUCCUGGGGCUCAACCCUGGGCGUGCAGCGGAUACUGCCGGGCUAGAGGGUGGUAGAGGCGAGUGGAAUUCCGAGUGUAGCGGUGAAAUGCGCAGAUAUUCGGAGGAACACCAGUAGCGAAGGCGGCUCGCUGGGCCACACCUGACGCUGAGACGCGAAAGCGUGGGGAGCGAACAGGAUUAGAUACCCUGGUAGUCC
This 801-nucleotide ribosomal RNA is filed under the name uncultured Rubrobacter sp. RNAcentral's name for it is "bacterial SSU rRNA". It matches the Rfam family "Bacterial small subunit ribosomal RNA", at positions 8 to 796 of the family's 1533-position model. Lineage: Bacteria; Bacillati; Actinomycetota; Rubrobacteria; Rubrobacterales; Rubrobacteraceae. The record is from RNAcentral.